CGGGGCGUAGCGCAGCCUGGUAGCGCAUCUGGUUUGGGACCAGAGGGUCGUAGGUUCGAAUCCUAUCGCUCCGACCA
This 77-nucleotide transfer RNA is filed under the name Pseudomonadota bacterium. RNAcentral describes it as "tRNA-Pro". It matches the Rfam family "tRNA". Rfam says of the family: Transfer RNA (tRNA) molecules are approximately 80 nucleotides in length. Their secondary structure includes four short double-helical elements and three loops (D, anti-codon, and T loops). The record is from RNAcentral. Lineage: Bacteria; Pseudomonadati; Pseudomonadota. RNAcentral also lists the same sequence under 1 other name.